Molecule: ribosomal RNA, 463 nt
Filed under: Achromobacter xylosoxidans
Lineage: Bacteria; Pseudomonadati; Pseudomonadota; Betaproteobacteria; Burkholderiales; Alcaligenaceae
Description: bacterial SSU rRNA
Rfam family: Bacterial small subunit ribosomal RNA
Source: RNAcentral
AUUGAACGCUAGCGGGAUGCCUUACACAUGCAAGUCGAACGGCAGCACGGACUUCGGUCUGGUGGCGAGUGGCGAACGGGUGAGUAAUGUAUCGGAACGUGCCCAGUAGCGGGGGAUAACUACGCGAAAGCGUAGCUAAUACCGCAUACGCCCUACGGGGGAAAGCAGGGGAUCGCAAGACCUUGCACUAUUGGAGCGGCCGAUAUCGGAUUAGCUAGUUGGUGGGGUAACGGCUCACCAAGGCGACGAUCCGUAGCUGGUUUGAGAGGACGACCAGCCACACUGGGACUGAGACACGGCCCAGACUCCUACGGGAGGCAGCAGUGGGGAAUUUUGGACAAUGGGGGAAACCCUGAUCCAGCCAUCCCGCGUGUGCGAUGAAGGCCUUCGGGUUGUAAAGCACUUUUGGCAGGAAAGAAACGUCAUGGGUUAAUACCCCGUGAAACUGACGUACUGCGAUAAG